UUUGGGGUGGCAGAGCACGGCAAUUGCAAAAGGCCUAAGCCCUUAUCGUCGAGAGUUCAAAUCUCUCCCCCAACC
This 75-nucleotide transfer RNA is filed under the name Bolitoglossa n. sp. RLM-2004. Its description in RNAcentral is "tRNA-Leu". It matches the Rfam family "tRNA". Rfam says of the family: Transfer RNA (tRNA) molecules are approximately 80 nucleotides in length. Their secondary structure includes four short double-helical elements and three loops (D, anti-codon, and T loops). The record is from RNAcentral. Lineage: Eukaryota; Metazoa; Chordata; Amphibia; Caudata; Plethodontidae.